Cunninghamella echinulata is the source of this 85-nucleotide non-coding RNA. The record is from the annotation of a GenBank genome assembly. Lineage: Eukaryota; Fungi; Mucoromycota; Mucoromycetes; Mucorales; Cunninghamellaceae.
GGUAAUUUGGCCGAGUUGGUCUAAGGCGCGGCACUCAAGUUGCCGUCUUCGUAUGAAGGCAGGAGUUCGAAUCUCCUAGUUACCA